CUUGACUAUAAAUUAUUUUAUUAUAAUAUAUUACUUAUGGAUUGACUACUAAUUCUCAAGUUAGUGAUCGUGCUUGAUUUUGAAUUUAUAUAUAUUUUUUAUCCUAAAAUAAAUCAUAUCAUAAUUUAUUCUACAUUUUAUUGUAAUAAAAUAAAAGUGAAAAAAAUGAAUUAGAGUGGCUUAAAGAUAAAAAAAAGAGCGAUACUAACUAUCUACGAUGCUCGAACACUCUACUAUUCUGGUGUACUCGCUAAUAUGGUUGCCUCACUCGGAUAUAGAGAUUUUAAUUCUCAGUUAAUUUUCUGUAGUACUCGUUUGUCCCUUUUAUCUUUAGAAGCAUUGUUCUAUAAAAUACACUUAAAUAAAAUUUUUUUACUUCAUUUCAGCCAAUUAGAAAUUUUUAAUAUAAAAUAUAAAAAUAAUUUAUAGUAAAAAUUUGGGUAAAUUGUAUUGUUACCCCCUGAACUUUGGCGAGUUUCACUUAACCCCCAGACUCCUAAAAUAGACAUCUAACACCCUAAACUCUAAUAUUUCAUUCGUUUUACCCCUUCCGUCAGUUUCCGGUUAACGGAGCUUGACAGAAAACUGACGGAAUGGGUAAUAUGAACAAAAUAUUAGAGUUUAGGGGGUUAGAUGUCCAUUAUAGAAGUUUGAAGGGUAAAGUGAAACUUCGCCAAAAGUUUAGGGGAUAACAAUGCAAUUUACCC
Molecule: long non-coding RNA, 707 nt
Filed under: Ananas comosus (pineapple)
Lineage: Eukaryota; Viridiplantae; Streptophyta; Magnoliopsida; Poales; Bromeliaceae
Description: long non-coding RNA (ACOM_LNC035472)
Source: RNAcentral